This 253-nucleotide ribosomal RNA is filed under the name uncultured bacterium. RNAcentral describes it as "partial 16S ribosomal RNA". It matches the Rfam family "Bacterial small subunit ribosomal RNA", at positions 524 to 776 of the family's 1533-position model. The record is from RNAcentral.
UACGUAGGGACCAAGCGUUGUUCGGAUUUACUGGGCGUAAAGGGCGCGUAGGCGGCAAUUCAAGUCAUCUGUGAAAUCUCCGGGCUUAACUCGGAACGGUCAGAUGAUACUGCUUUGCUAGAGUGCGGAAGGGGCAAUCGGAAUUCUCGGUGUAGCGGUGAAAUGCGUAGAUAUCGGGAGGAACACCGGUGGCGAAGGCGGCGACCUGGGUAGAUACUGACGCUGAGGUGCGAAAGCGUGGGGAGCAAACAGG